GAGCAUCAGAAUGUUAAUGCCUCGUGUCUUCUGUGAAGGAUAGUAGAAUUCACCACUGCUUUGACCUUUCCGAUGUGAUGCAUUUCGAUUGGGUCUGGAAGUUGAUGAUUAAUGAUAAUUGCAAUAAUUACACCACGGGACUCUGUCAAAGGAAGCCACUUGAAACAUUUAAUAGAAUCUUGAACAAUCUCUGGCCCAAUGUUCCCGUUUCUCCUCCUGCACCUUCAUCACAUGUUCCUGGCAAACUGCAGACACCAUCUUAAGCAGGAGACAGCGAUCCUUGUUGGUGACUCCCCUGGACCUAGAUCACUCAAUG
Molecule: long non-coding RNA, 316 nt
Filed under: Cricetulus griseus (Chinese hamster)
Lineage: Eukaryota; Metazoa; Chordata; Mammalia; Rodentia; Cricetidae
Description: lncRNA (ENSCGRG00000025670.1)
Source: RNAcentral